UUACGGUCACAUCACGUUGAAACACCGCUUCCCGUACAAUUACCGAAGUUAAGCAACGUUGAGCCUAGUCAUUACCUAGAUGGGUGACCGCUUGGGAAUAACAGGUA
This 107-nucleotide ribosomal RNA is filed under the name Acanthosepion pharaonis. Lineage: Eukaryota; Metazoa; Mollusca; Cephalopoda; Sepiida; Sepiidae. The record is from RNAcentral.